This is a long non-coding RNA of Hyla sarda, 160 nucleotides long. RefSeq lists it as uncharacterized. The transcript is spliced from 3 exons. The record is from RefSeq and is a predicted model, not a curated record. Lineage: Eukaryota; Metazoa; Chordata; Amphibia; Anura; Hylidae.
GGGAGAGCUGGGAUUUGGAGUCGGUACUACUGGGUCAGAAUUAGUCGAAGCCGUUGAAAAACUUGCGGAUAACUUGGGUCUGGUUAAACCUGUUCUUAACAUUCUCUGCCCCAUGCUCGGUCCACUAUUUGCCUCAAAAUGUGUAGAUAAGCUCAUCGGC